UUUUACAGACACUGCUGCAGUAAAUAAUCUAUGCAUAUUUCGUAUCCUAAAUAUGCAAGAAUGUAUAUGUAGGAUCAAUUCCCCAAAGUAGGAUCAUAAAAUCAGAAGGUACCACAUUUAUAAUUUUCAUGGGUACUGCCCAUUUACCUUCUGUAGGAGCUGUAGUCUGUUACACUCCUGUCUACAGAGAAUGAGCUCACUGACAAAUAUAUCAUCACACUUGGAUUUUUGCCAACUAAUAGAUGACACAUUACAGUAUCUCUAUGAAGCAUCUUUUCAUGUUUAAGACCCAUUUGCAUUUCCUGCUUUCUGAAUGUUUUCUUCAUGCCAGUUUCUGUGUUGGUUUGUUGGUUUUUUUCUUUUCUUUCUUUCUUUCUUUCUUUUUUUUAUGACUGUCAUAGCUGAAAAAGAUAACUCAACCAAAAUAUGUAGAUGUAAGUAGAAGUGUACCAUUGGCUCCAUUUACCAAAUCACAAUUCUCAAUGUAUAUUUUUAGUUUUGCGAGGUUUUUGUUGAAAUUUGGCUAUUUCAAGUUUCACCUUCUUUAACGUUAAUUAGUUAUUUUAACCACAUAGGGUACCACGUUUUUAUACUUUUUGAGUGUAAAUGUCCCACGGUGAGAACUCUUACAGGCGAUACAUACAUUGUAUUCACAUAGCAAUGAGAAGUCAUUUUCAAAAUGUGCUCUUCAUGGCAGUUUCCCAUUCAUCAUAAAAACAUUUAUCUUUACCCUGAGAUAGCAGAUUAGGUAUUUAUUUUUUGGACUGUGUCUGAAUAUGUCCCACUCAGAUAUCCCAGGCUGCCUCCAGGGGACUUUCCCUGACUAAACUCUCCUGCCUAUCUUCCUGUAGCAUUUCAUUUGUUUUAUCAUUCAUAAAGAACUUAAUAAUGUAGUUGAACAGAUUUAUAGAAAACGGGUUUUUGUGACUUGGAUCUCCCCAGUGAAAUUGAGGGCUCCUUAAGGGGCAUGGGUCAUAUUUUGAUUCUUUGCUCCCUUUAGUGUAUGAGCAGAACAGAAUAGGGCUUGGGGUGAUGGUGGGAAGGCCGCCAUGGGCUGACCUGGCUCAUCCCCCACAUGGCUUCACAGGUGAGGCAGCUGCAGGAGGAUGCAGCCCGCCUCCAGGCGGCCUAUGCGGGUGACAAGGCCGACGACAUCCAGAAGCGCGAGAACGAGGUCCUGGAAGCCUGGAAGUCCCUCCUGGACGCCUGUGAGAGCCGCAGGGUGCGGCUGGUGGACACAGGGGACAAGUUCCGCUUCUUCAGCAUGGUGCGCGACCUCAUGCUCUGGAUGGAGGAUGUCAUCCGGCAGAUCGAGGCCCAGGAGAAGCCAAGGGAUGUAUCAUCUGUUGAACUCUUAAUGAAUAAUCAUCAAGGCAUCAAAGCUGAAAUUGAUGCACGUAAUGACAGUUUCACAACCUGCAUUGAACUUGGGAAAUCCCUGUUGGCGAGAAAACACUAUGCAUCUGAGGAGAUCAAGGAAAAAUUACUGCAGUUGACGGAAAAGAGGAAAGAAAUGAUCGACAAGUGGGAAGACCGAUGGGAAUGGUUAAGACUGAUUCUGGAGGUCCAUCAGUUCUCAAGAGACGCCAGUGUGGCCGAGGCCUGGCUGCUUGGACAGGAGCCAUACCUAUCCAGCCGAGAGAUAGGCCAGAGCGUGGACGAGGUGGAGAAGCUCAUCAAGCGCCACGAGGCAUUUGAAAAGUCUGCAGCAACCUGGGAUGAGAGGUUCUCUGCCCUGGAAAGGCUGACUACAUUGGAGUUACUGGAAGUGCGCAGACAGCAAGAGGAAGAGGAGAGGAAGAGGCGGCCGCCUUCUCCCGAGCCGAGCACGAAGGUUUCAGAGGAAGCCGAGUCCCAGCAGCAGUGGGAUACUUCAAAAGGAGAACAAGUUUCCCAAAACGGUUUGCCAGCUGAACAGGGAUCUCCACGGGUUAGUUACCGCUCUCAAACCUACCAAAACUACAAAAACUUUAAUAGCAGACGGACAGCCAGUGACCAGCCAUGGUCUGGACUGUGAAGUUCACUACCAUUUGUCAAGAAUCACCCUUUCCAAAUCCUCUGGGUUUUGACUUUUUGGCUUCCACUUCACCCAAAAUGUUAAAAUUUUUACUUAAUUCAUAGCCUUCCUUGGUUUCAUAUUUGUUUGCAUUUAAUUCAUGUUUGAGUCUCUUAACUGAUGGAUGCCCACUUGCCUUAAAGCAGCAUACUUAUUUUUUGUUUA
Molecule: small RNA, 2221 nt
Filed under: Pan troglodytes (chimpanzee)
Lineage: Eukaryota; Metazoa; Chordata; Mammalia; Primates; Hominidae
Description: retained intron
Source: RNAcentral